Molecule: ribosomal RNA, 503 nt
Filed under: uncultured crenarchaeote
Lineage: Archaea; Thermoproteati; Thermoproteota
Description: bacterial SSU rRNA
Rfam family: Archaeal small subunit ribosomal RNA
Source: RNAcentral
UUCCGGUUGAUCCUGCCGGACCCGACUGCUAUCGGAAUGGGACUAAGCCAUGCGAGUCGUAUGUCCCUGGACCGCCAGGGGCAUGGCGAACGGCUCAGUAACACGUGGCCAACCUACCCUCAAGAUGCGGAUAACCCCGGGAAACUGGGACUAAUCCGCAAUAGGCCCAGAUUUCUGGAAUUGAAUCUGGGCUGAAAGGGUAACAUGAGCAUGCUUCAUGUUACCGCUUGAGGAUGGGGCUACGGCCGAUCAGGCUGUUGGUGGGGUAACGGCCCACCAAACCUUUGACCGGUACGGGCUUUGAGAGAAGGAGCCCGGAGAUGGACACUGAGACAAGGGUCCAGGCCCUACGGGGCGCAGCAGGCGCGAAACCUCCGCAAUGCGCGAAAGCGCGACGGGGCCACCCCGAGUGCCAUCCGCUGAGGGUGGCUUUUCCCUAGUGUAGUAAGCUAGGGGAAUAAGCGGGGGGCAAGUCUGGUGUCAGCCGCCGCGGUAAUACCAGC